UACGUAGGGCGCAAGCGUUGUCCGGAAUUAUUGGGCGUAAAGAGCUCGUAGGCGGUUUGUCGCGUCUGCUGUGAAAACUCGAGGCUCAACCUCGGGCUUGCAGUGGGUACGGGCAGACUAGAGUGCGGUAGGGGAGACUGGAAUUCCUGGUGUAGCGGUGGAAUGCGCAGAUAUCAGGAGGAACACCGGUGGCGAAGGCGGGUCUCUGGUCCGUUACUGACGCUGAGGCUCGAAAGCGUGGGGAGCAAACAGG
This 253-nucleotide ribosomal RNA is filed under the name uncultured bacterium. RNAcentral describes it as "partial 16S ribosomal RNA". It matches the Rfam family "Bacterial small subunit ribosomal RNA", at positions 524 to 776 of the family's 1533-position model. The record is from RNAcentral.